GGCCCCUUGGCGGAAUUGGUAGACGCAGCAGACUUAAAAUCUGCUAUCGCAGUGCGGUGUUCCGGUUCGAGUCCGGAAGGGGCCACCA
This 88-nucleotide transfer RNA is filed under the name Hwanghaeella grinnelliae. Its description in RNAcentral is "tRNA-Leu". It matches the Rfam family "tRNA". Rfam says of the family: Transfer RNA (tRNA) molecules are approximately 80 nucleotides in length. The record is from RNAcentral. Lineage: Bacteria; Pseudomonadati; Pseudomonadota; Alphaproteobacteria; Rhodospirillales; Aestuariispiraceae.